GACGAACGCUGGCGGCGUGCUUAACACAUGCAAGUCGAACGAAGUGGCGAACGGGUGAGUAACGCGUAUUCAACCUGCCCUUCAGAGGGGUACAUCAGUUGGAAACGACUUCUAAUCCCGCAAACUGCAGGAGGUGAUUGCGUUGGAUUAGCUAGUUGGAGGGGUAACGGCCCACCAAGGCGAUGAUCAGUAGCCGGUCGGGGAGGGUGAACGGCCACAUUGGGACUGAGACACGGCCCAGACUCCUACGGGAGGCAGCAGUGGGGAAUCUUCCGCAAUGGACGAAAGUCUGACGAAGCAACGCCGCGUGAGUGAUGACGGCCUUCGGGUUGUAAAGCUCUGUUAAUCGGGACGCGGUACCGGAAUAGAAAGCCACGGCUAACUACGUGCCAGCCGCCGCGGUAAUUC
This 408-nucleotide ribosomal RNA is filed under the name uncultured bacterium. RNAcentral's name for it is "partial 16S ribosomal RNA". It matches the Rfam family "Bacterial small subunit ribosomal RNA", at positions 28 to 526 of the family's 1533-position model. The record is from RNAcentral.